UACGUAGGGAGCGAGCGUUGUCCGGAUUCAUUGGGCGUAAAGAGCUCGUAGGCGGCUUGGUAAGUCGGAUGUGAAACCUCCAGGCUCAACCUGGAGUCGCCAUCCGAUACUGCCAUGGCUAGAGUCCGGUAGGGGCCCACGGAAUUCCUGGUGUAGCGGUGGAAUGCGCAGAUAUCAGGAAGAACACCCGUGGCGAAGGCGGCUCUCUGGAACGCAACUGACGCUGAGACGCGAAAGCGUGGGGAGCAAACAGG
Molecule: ribosomal RNA, 254 nt
Filed under: uncultured bacterium
Lineage: Bacteria
Description: partial 16S ribosomal RNA
Rfam family: Bacterial small subunit ribosomal RNA
Source: RNAcentral